CCCCUAGAUGUUCUGGGCCGCACGCGCGCUACACUGAACAGUUCAACAAGUCUUAACCUUGGCCGAUAGGUCUGGGUAAUCUUUGAACGCUGUUCGUGAUUGGGAUAGACCUUUGCAAUUAUGGGUCUUCAACGAGGAAUUCCUAGUAAACGCAAGUCAUCAGCUUGCAUUGAUUACGUCCCUGCCCUUUGUACACACCGCCCGUCGCACCUACCGAUUGAAUGGUCCGGUGAAAUCUCGGGAGGGCGGCUUGGUCGCUUGCGUCCGACUGCUGAAACUUGAUUAAACCAUAUCAUUUAGAGGAAGGUGAAGUCGUAACA
RNAcentral lists this ribosomal RNA (320 nucleotides) under uncultured eukaryote. Its description in RNAcentral is "partial 18S ribosomal RNA". It matches the Rfam family "Eukaryotic small subunit ribosomal RNA", at positions 1470 to 1796 of the family's 1831-position model. The record is from RNAcentral.